This 253-nucleotide ribosomal RNA is filed under the name uncultured bacterium. Its description in RNAcentral is "partial 16S ribosomal RNA". It matches the Rfam family "Bacterial small subunit ribosomal RNA", at positions 524 to 776 of the family's 1533-position model. The record is from RNAcentral.
UACGAAGGGGGCUAGCGUUAUUCGGAAUCACUGGGCGUAAAGCGCAAGUAGGCGGUUCGUUAAGUCAGAUGUGAAAUCCUAGGUUUCAAGCCGAGAACUGCAUUUGAUACUGAUGAACUAGAGGACAGGAGAGGAUGAUGGAAUUCCAAGUGUAGGAGUGAAAUCCGUAGAUAUUUGGAGGAACACCAGAGGCGAAGGCGUUCAUCUGGUCUGUCACUGACGCUGAGUUGCGAAAGUGUGGGGAGCAAACAGG